UGUAUGAGGAAGAAUCGUUGCCUACACUGUUUAAAAAAUGUCAAGUGGCGCGUAAAGUUACCAAAUUUUAAUUUGAUGUGGUUCUGUGAGUGGAGUGCGAGUUAGUUGGAACAUUAAAAUUGCAUUAAGUUCCUUUUAUUAUUAAAAUAAUUUGUGUCCGUUAAGUUACUUAAAUAGAUAAAAGUAAAGUUUUAAAGAAGUGCUAAAAUGACGAAUCGACCAACGUAUUCUCAAAUAGAAUGUUUGGUGGAAUUCCUGGAGCAAAAUCCAGGCAUAGCCAAAGGCUUGCUUCGGACCACUCAAGCCAAAUUGGAAACGAAGCGAAAAUGGGCAAGCUUGGCAACCUCCUUGAAUUCUAUUGCAGGUGCUAAUAAAGAUGGUCAAGGCUGGGCUAAGGUAUUAAAAAAUCAAUUAGACAUUAGAAUCACUAUUAUCAGGCAGUAAUUAAAUAGCAAGUAAUUUCAUUAACAUUAAUGCAUGUUUUAGUAUUGGGCUGAGAAGAAAUGUGGUUUGAAGAAACAGUGCGCACAACUCUCAUCUUCAAUGAGGCGCACUGGUGGUGGGACAGCAGACAACUUGCCAACAUUGUCUGCUCUAGAUAAAAGGUUGGUGGCAGUGAUGGGUGGACAAGAGUUUGCGACUGGCAACUCAAGCUUGGCAGUCAAUCCAUUUCCUGAAUUGCCGAGAUCUGUUGGUACAGAACCACAGGUUGUUGAA
Trichoplusia ni (cabbage looper) is the source of this 717-nucleotide long non-coding RNA. RefSeq lists it as uncharacterized. The transcript has 3 exons. The record is from RefSeq and is a predicted model, not a curated record. Lineage: Eukaryota; Metazoa; Arthropoda; Insecta; Lepidoptera; Noctuidae.